CUACGGGAGGCAGCAGUGGGGAAUCUUGCACAAUGGGGGAAACCCUGAUGCAGCGACGCCGCGUGAGCGAUGAAGCCUUUCGGGGUGUAAAGCUCUUACGCCAGGGACGAUAAUGACGGUACCUGGAGAAGCAGCUGCGGCUAACUACGUGCCAGCAGCCGCGGUAAUACGUAGGCAGCAAGCGUUGUUCGGAAUUACUGGGCGUAAAGGGUGCGUAGGCGGUGUACUAAGUUUGGUGUGAAAUCUCCCGGCUCAACUGGGAGGGUGCGCCGAAAACUGGGACACUCGAGUGUGGGAGAGGAAAGCGGAAUUCCUGGUGUAGCGGUGAAAUGCGUAGAGAUCAGGAGGAACACCUGCGGUGUAGACGGCUUUCUGGACCAUAACUGACGCCGAGGCACGAAAGCGUGGGUAGCAAACAGGAUUAGAUACCCUAGUAGUCC
RNAcentral lists this ribosomal RNA (440 nucleotides) under uncultured bacterium. Its description in RNAcentral is "bacterial SSU rRNA". It matches the Rfam family "Bacterial small subunit ribosomal RNA", at positions 339 to 796 of the family's 1533-position model. The record is from RNAcentral.